UCCGAGGUCUGCGACCUUCCACUUGUGCAGUCGGACUUUCUACUUGGUUACUAGCUACGCCCGACAUGCCCGACGGACCUUGAAAGAAAAUAAAAAAAUAACUUUGCAAACAUUUUUACCAAAGUUUCCUAUUAAUAAACGAUCUCAAACUUAUUUUCAUCAUUACUAUUCAUGACAGCGAUGUUCAAUUUGUUCAACCGCUAGCUUUAUACAGAAAAUCGCCGACAAAUAAUGUGUAAAUCCGAGUAAAAUAGUAUCUCACUAUCUGUCAAAAACAACAUUGAAAACAAAAUGG
Molecule: long non-coding RNA, 295 nt
Filed under: Mytilus galloprovincialis (Mediterranean mussel)
Lineage: Eukaryota; Metazoa; Mollusca; Bivalvia; Mytilida; Mytilidae
Source: RNAcentral